This 265-nucleotide ribosomal RNA is filed under the name Wolbachia endosymbiont of Haematobia irritans. RNAcentral's name for it is "partial 16S ribosomal RNA". It matches the Rfam family "Bacterial small subunit ribosomal RNA", at positions 474 to 738 of the family's 1533-position model. Lineage: Bacteria; Pseudomonadati; Pseudomonadota; Alphaproteobacteria; Rickettsiales; Anaplasmataceae. The record is from RNAcentral.
GGUACCCACAGAAGAAGUCCUGGCUAACUCCGUGCCAGCAGCCGCGGUAAUACGGAGAGGGCUAGCGUUAUUCGGAAUUAUUGGGCGUAAAGGGCGCGUAGGCGGAUUAGUAAGUUAAAAGUGAAAUCCCAAGGCUCAACCUUGGAAUUGCUUUUAAAACUGCUAAUCUAGAGAUUGAAAGAGGAUAGAGGAAUUCCUAGUGUAGAGGUGAAAUUCGUAAAUAUUAGGAGGAACACCAGUGGCGAAGGCGUCUAUCUGGUUCAAA